CGGAAUAGCCUCUGGAAACGGAGAGUAAUACCGUAUACGCCCUUUUGGGGAAAGAUUUAUCGGUGAAGGAUUAGCCCGCGUCUGAUUAGAUAGUUGGUGGGGUAACGGCCUACCAAGUCGACGAUCAGUAGCUGGUUUGAGAGGAUGAUCAGCAACACUGGGACUGAGACACGGCCCAGACUCCUACGGGAGGCAGCAGUGGGGAAUCUUAGACAAUGGGCGCAAGUGAUCUAGCCAUGCCGCGUGAGUGACGAAGGCCUUAGGGUCGUAAAGCUCUUUCGCCAGGGAUGAUAAUGACAGUACCUGGUAAAGAAACCCCGGCUAACUCCGUGCCAGCAGCCGCGGUAAUACGGAGGGGGUUAGCGUUGUUCGGAAUUACUGGGCGUAAAGCGCGCGUAGGGGAUUGGAAAGUUGGGGGUGAAAUCCCGGGGCUCAACCCCGAACUGCCUCCAAAACUAUCAGUCUAGAGUUCGAGAGAGGUGAGUGGAAUUCCAAGUGUAGAGGUGAAAUUCGUAGAUAUUUGGAGGAACACCAGUGGCGAAGGGGCUCACUGGCUCGAUACUGACGCUGAGGUGCGAAAGUGUGGGGAGCAAACAGGAUUAGAUACCCUGGUAGUCCACACCGUAAACGAUGAAUGCCAGACGUCG
RNAcentral lists this ribosomal RNA (647 nucleotides) under uncultured bacterium. RNAcentral's name for it is "bacterial SSU rRNA". It matches the Rfam family "Bacterial small subunit ribosomal RNA", at positions 139 to 825 of the family's 1533-position model. The record is from RNAcentral.